This 450-nucleotide ribosomal RNA is filed under the name uncultured bacterium. RNAcentral's name for it is "partial 16S ribosomal RNA". It matches the Rfam family "Bacterial small subunit ribosomal RNA", at positions 354 to 796 of the family's 1533-position model. The record is from RNAcentral.
GUGGGGAAUAUUGCACAAUGGGGGAAACCCUGAUGCAGCAACGCCGCGUGAGUGAUGACGGUCUUCGGAUUGUAAAGCUCUGUCAUCAGGGACGAACGGCCGGUGGAGUGGAAAGCCACCGGAUUGACGGUACCUGAGAAGGAAGCCACGGCUAACUACGUGCCAGCAGCCGCGGUAAUACGUAGGUGGCAAGCGUUGUCCGGAAUUAUUGGGCGUAAAGCGCGCGCAGGUGGGAUCUUAAGUCCAUUUUGAAAGUUCGGAGCUCAACUCCGUGAUGGGAUGGAAACUGGGAUUCUUGAGUACCGGAGAGGAAAGCGGAAUUCCCCGUGUAGCGGUGAAAUGCGUAGAUAUGGGGAGGAACACCAGUGGCGAAGGCGGCUUUCUGGACGGUGUCUGACACUGAGGCGCGAAAGCUAGGGGAGCGAACGGGAUUAGAAACCCUUGUAGUCC